AUGGGAAAUGCUUAGUAGUUCUUAGAUGUGCUAUCAAUAACCAGUGAUGCCAUGACACGAUGUCAUGGCAAGCAAUCAGCGACACGACGUCGCAUUGAUUGCGCUCACGUCCGAUUUUAAUACCUACUAGCACAUCUUAGCACUACUU
RNAcentral lists this non-coding RNA (148 nucleotides) under uncultured Lachnospira sp. The record is from RNAcentral. Lineage: Bacteria; Bacillati; Bacillota; Clostridia; Lachnospirales; Lachnospiraceae.